RNAcentral lists this ribosomal RNA (253 nucleotides) under uncultured bacterium. RNAcentral describes it as "partial 16S ribosomal RNA". It matches the Rfam family "Bacterial small subunit ribosomal RNA", at positions 524 to 776 of the family's 1533-position model. The record is from RNAcentral.
UACGGGGGGGGCAAGCGUUGUUCGGAAUUACUGGGCGUAAAGGGCGCGUAGGCGGCCUGCUAAGUCGGAUGUGAAAUCCCUCGGCUCAACCGAGGAACUGCAUCCGAUACUGGCGGGCUUGAAUCCGGGAGAGGGAUGUGGAAUUCCAGGUGUAGCGGUGAAAUGCGUAGAUAUCUGGAGGAACACCGGUGGCGAAGGCGGCAUCCUGGACCGGUAUUGACGCUGAGGAGCGAAAGCCAGGGGAGCAAACGGG